Monodon monoceros (narwhal) is the source of this 2636-nucleotide long non-coding RNA. NCBI's taxonomy places the organism in Eukaryota, Metazoa, Chordata, Mammalia, Artiodactyla, Monodontidae. The record is from Ensembl.
AGAGAGAGGAAGCAGUUGGAAUGCACACACUCAGAGGUAACUAAUAGCAAAAAAUGAGUAGUCUCCUUCCGUUCACACCCACUUGACUGGUGUUGAUUCAAGAUUCAGCUGGAUGCUGGGUGGCAGAAGGAAGGGAAGGUAUUAGCUGUUGCCUGAGGACCAAGAGGGACCAUCUAAUGGCUCCAUGUGAAAUGAGAAGGCUUUCAGGUAUAAAGUCACAGAGCAAGAUGCCAAACAUCCCACCAUUUACCUAUCAUUUCAGGACCAUAUGUGCAAAAUUGCAGCAGUAACGUCUCAACUUUUAUUGGCCUCCUGCUCCCCAGGGCACCCUGCUUCUGCUAACUCGAUGCCUCAGAACUUUGGUGUCUGAGGCCCUCAGAUACCACUUUGCCGUCUACAAGCCUGAGGGUGGUGGUCUUCUGGAUGGUUUGCAUGGAGUUGCUGCUGUCCACGGCGUCACCAGGACUGAAGUCCUCCCCAUCUUCCAGCAGGCGGCGGUGUUCCCGGAUUUUACACUCCAGUUUCCUAUUAUCGGCCUCCAGGCUCUUCACCCUCUCCAGCACUCUUCACUCUCGAGCCUGACAUGGCAAAAUUCUGACUCUGUCUCCAUCAUGGAGAACAUGACACAGCAGUGCAAGUUGGCGGCUCUGCAAAUUCAUGAUUUCUCAUCUCCGCGGGAUCCUCAGUGCAGCUUGACAACCUUUCUCUUUGCUCCUGAAUAACUCUUUUGAUUCAUUCAUGCAAUAUCAUUGGAUUUGUGCAUUAGAAAGAUCACUCUGGAACCUGAUAGCCUGAAGGUGGGCAUACGGAAAUCAGUGACACCUAUUGCAAUUUGGAGCUCUAUAAAUGGGUCCUACCCCUACUUAAAGCCUGUUGGGCCUCCUUAUAGCCUAUAGAAUAAAGUCUAACCUGUUUAUGAGUUUGGCAUACAGAGCCUGGCGCCUCCCUCACUAAUGACCUUAGCUCCCUGCCCUCCUACCUUCCUACUUUCUGACCUAUGAACUCUCAGCUCGUUUCCUUAACUCGCCCAUGCUGUUCAUGCUUCUGGGCCUUUGCUUACACUGUUGUUCCUGCCUGAGUGCUCUUCUCACUUUCUUUCAUGAGUAAGUUCUUGUUCAUACUUAAAGACUCAGCCCAAGUGUCAUUUCCUUCACGUAGCCCAACCCCUUUUCGUGAUGAGGUGUCCCUCCACCAGGCUCCACCAGGCUCCCAAGGCACCCUGGGUAUGUCUCUCUCAUAGCACUUACUGUAUCUUAUUGAUAUUAUCUGUCUAUUUCCCCCACCAGUUGGUCUGUUCUGGGAAGACAAGGGCUGUGUCUUGUUCAUCUGUUCAUCUCUGGCCCUGGCACAUAGAGGGGGAUUGAUCUGAUCUGAACUGACCUAUGAUCCACUAAGCUUUUCUAGCCAUAUCUCUCUGGAAGAGACAAUCCCCCACCAUUUCUCUUUCAUACCCCUAAGAGUUGCAGCCCUCACUCCAAGCGGGGAAAGUACAUUUCACUCCCACUGGUGUUGCACAGUGUUUCCUGCACAGGCCACAGAGCAGAUGUCCUGCAGAGGUAGCAGGCGAACCACUCCUUCGCUUCUUGGUCCACACUCCUCAUUACAGCUCCUCAUGUACAAUCUGAGAGGUAGACAUCACCCAGCACUGAGAUUCACACCUCUCCUCCUCCUCCAGUGUCGCUGACCCCUUCAAAUACGAGGGACUCUUCUAUUAGGAUAAAUGAUUUGCCAGGAUGCUACUUGUUCCUGAUGUAAAACUGGCUCCUGGCCAACAGUUGCCCAAACAUGCUCGCUGGGUCCGAACCCGCAAGUGGGUGUGGCUCUGCUUUGCUAAGCAAGGGUCACUGUUGCACGGGAAGUUGCUUGGAACAUGAUUUUUGAAAUUCAGGAGUGGUCUGCUUCCUUUGGGGAUCCUUGGUUGAUGAGUACUAUGCCCCACCAAGUGGUCCAGAGAGAGUCUCUGACCUGAUGGAAUUGUUCUUGAACCUGGGCCACCAGGUCAUGUGAGAAGAGAGGGAGAGAGAAGGCCUGGACCUCUGUGGACCCUUGAGCCACAGGAUGGCUAGUGAUUGUUUUGUGCCCAGAGAGAAGGGAGGCCAUUCCUGACACAGGAGUUUGCAUGAUUUAGCAUUAAGCAUCCCUCAUAUAGUUCUGCUGAAGAGUCUAGAAAAAAAGAAAUGAAUUUCCAAGAACAGUUCAAUGUUCUCAUUAAGAGGGUGAAACAGGACAGCACUGCAAGGCCCAAGCCUGGCAGGCUUGGGCUUAGCACCUGAGCUGCUCCAGAGCAGAGGGAAAGUGAGGAGCAGCACAGACAGUGGAAUGGCUGGGAGGAGAGAGCAGGGCGUUUGGAGGCUGGAUACUGGGAGCCAGACCCAGCCUUGAUGCUAAUUACUUGGGAGGCCCAGGCAGGUCAGUUAAUAUGGCCUUGCCUCACUUUCCUCACUGUAUGGUGGGAACACAUAUGUGGCCGUGCUCCCUACCUGAGACACCUGCUUAAGUUUACUCGAUCACCGUGUGUUAGGUCGGAGUCCGUCAAUACUGGGUGCUUAUAUCCAUCUAUGAUGGUUAAUUUUAUGUGUCAACUUGACUAGGCUAUGAUGCUGACUUGUUUGGUCAAACCCUAAUCUAGGUGUUGC